RNAcentral lists this transfer RNA (36 nucleotides) under Crocidura batakorum (Batak shrew). RNAcentral's name for it is "partial tRNA-Glu". Lineage: Eukaryota; Metazoa; Chordata; Mammalia; Eulipotyphla; Soricidae. The record is from RNAcentral.
GAAAAACCAUCGUUGUACUUCAACUACAAAAACCCU